This 392-nucleotide unclassified non-coding RNA is filed under the name soil metagenome. Its description in RNAcentral is "partial contains 5.8S ribosomal RNA, internal transcribed spacer 2, and large subunit ribosomal RNA". The stretch from base 1 to 122 matches the Rfam family "5.8S ribosomal RNA", at positions 35 to 154 of the family's 154-position model. The record is from RNAcentral.
GAUGAAGAACGCAGCGAAAUGCGAUACUUGGUGUGAAUUGCAGAAUCCCGUGAACCAUCGAGUCUUUGAACGCAAGUUGCGCCCGAAGCCAUUAGGCCGAGGGCACGCCUGCCUGGGCGUCACACGUCGUUGCCCCCCCAUCUACUCCUUCGGGAUUGCGGGGGGCGGAUGAUGGCCUCCCGUGCGCCUCGCCGCGCGGUUGGCAUAAAUGCCAAGUCCUCGGCGACGCACGCCACGACAAUCGGUGGUUGCGAAACCUCGGUUGCCCGUCGUGUGCGGUCGUCGCGCAUCGAGGGCUCGAAAAAAUUGCCGGGUUCCGGCUCGGCUUUCAACGCGACCCCAGGUCAGGCGGGGUUACCCGCUGAAUUUAAGCAUAUCCAAUAAGCGGAGGA